CACGUAGGAGGCGAGCGUUGUCCGGAAUCAUUGGGCGUAAAGAGCGCGCAGGCGGCCCGGCAAGUCGGGUGUGAAAUCCCGGGGCUCAACCCCGGGACUGCAUUCGAUACUGCCGGGCUAGAGGUAGGUAGGGGAGAUCGGAAUUCCUGGUGUAGCGGUGAAAUGACGCGAGAUAUCAGGAGGAACACCGGUGGCGAAGGCGGAUCUCUGGGCCGAUACUGACGCUGAGGAGCGAAAGCGUGGGGAGCAAACAGG
Molecule: ribosomal RNA, 255 nt
Filed under: uncultured bacterium
Lineage: Bacteria
Description: partial 16S ribosomal RNA
Rfam family: Bacterial small subunit ribosomal RNA
Source: RNAcentral